GUGCCUGUAGCUCAAAGGAGUAGGGCACUGGCCCCAUAUGCCAGAGGUGGCGGGUUCAAACCCAGCCCUGGCCA
This 74-nucleotide transfer RNA is filed under the name Otolemur garnettii (small-eared galago). It matches the Rfam family "tRNA". Rfam says of the family: Transfer RNA (tRNA) molecules are approximately 80 nucleotides in length. Their secondary structure includes four short double-helical elements and three loops (D, anti-codon, and T loops). Further hydrogen bonds mediate the characteristic L-shaped molecular structure. tRNAs have two regions of fundamental functional importance: the anti-codon, which is responsible for specific mRNA codon recognition, and the 3' end, to which the tRNAs corresponding amino acid is attached (by aminoacyl-tRNA synthetases). tRNAs cope with the degeneracy of the genetic code in two manners: having more than one tRNA (with a specific anti-codon) for a particular amino acid; and 'wobble' base-pairing, i.e. permitting non-standard base-pairing at the 3rd anti-codon position. The record is from Rfam by way of RNAcentral. Lineage: Eukaryota; Metazoa; Chordata; Mammalia; Primates; Galagidae.